AACUCGACGACGCGCGUAGGUUCUCGACAUUUCUCGAUAGAAUCCGAGACGUUCAGUAUCAUCGUCGAGUAUAUAUAAAAUAUAUAUAUAAUAAUAUAAAUAUAUAUAUGUAUAUCUAUCUUCAAUUCGUUUCUACUUUUCAUGCUUGACCGAAUAUCAAGCGAAGAUACGUCUUUACGAUUUGUUUCUGAACGAAGUAUCGUCUAAAAGAUGCCAUAUAAAUUCAAAGUCAAUAGAUACAAUGUUAUACUAAAGAGUAGAAGUGAUAAAUUAACAAGACGAUUUCGACUUUCUCUAGGCGGAUUAUUGAUGAUGCUUUGAAACGUUCUCGAAGAAUCGUGCCUCUUCAGGUGCAGUGUUCUAUGGCUGACUCGGAUGCUAUCAAGUUUCCUUUAAUAUAAGAGGAUGUAAUAAAAUUUCAUUCGAGGAGAAAAUCAUAAGAAAGUAGGAAAUAAUAAUACUAAAAAAUAAAAAAACAUUAAUAAUCCAUGGGAUUGGUCAAUAAGUAAUGUUAAAAUUUGUAAUAUAAAUAUAUAUGGAAAUAUGAAUAAAUAAACAAUAUUAUAGUAUAGUAUACAAUAGUAUUGUAUUAGGAGUAUAAUAUUGCCUUAGCUAAUAAUUAAUUUUCAGUAAAAAUUUCCAAUAAGAAAUUAGUAAAAUGCAGUUUUAUUUGUUUAUGCAGAUAUAAAGUAUUGAAAAUUCCAAUAUUAUUUAUUGGCCGAUUUAUAAUGACAGCAAUAUUCAGCCUAGUUUCAAAAUAAUAUUUUAACAUGUUACUUUCUCCGGAAUUAAUGACUAUUUAUAAAUUUGCUUAUAUAGCAAAGACGAAAUAUAGAGUGAAACGCUAUCAGAAAGAAUAUAAAUAAUGAUAAGUGAGAAAGAAGUUUAUAAAAAUACUAAUAAGGAUAAAAAAAAAAAGAAAGAAAAAAAAAGCAUAUUUGGUAAUAUUUAAAACAAC
This is a long non-coding RNA of Vespa velutina, 958 nucleotides long. RefSeq lists it as uncharacterized. The transcript is spliced from 3 exons. NCBI's taxonomy places the organism in Eukaryota, Metazoa, Arthropoda, Insecta, Hymenoptera, Vespidae. The record is from RefSeq and is a predicted model, not a curated record.